RNAcentral lists this ribosomal RNA (626 nucleotides) under uncultured Russulaceae. RNAcentral describes it as "LSU rRNA". It matches the Rfam family "Eukaryotic large subunit ribosomal RNA", at positions 47 to 649 of the family's 3401-position model. The record is from RNAcentral. Lineage: Eukaryota; Fungi; Basidiomycota; Agaricomycetes; Russulales; Russulaceae.
UAAGCGGAGNAAAAGAAACUANCANGGAUNCCCCUAGUACUGCGAGUGAAGCGGGAAAAGCUCAAAUUUAAAAUCUGGCGGCCUUUGCCCGCCCGAGUUGUAAUUUAGAGAAGCGUCUUCCGCGCCGGACCGUGCACAAGUCUCCUGGAAUGGAGCGUCAUAGAGGGUGAGAAUCCCGUCUUUGGCAUGGAUCCCCGGUGCUUCUGUGAUGCGCUCUCGAAGAGUCGAGUUGUUUGGGAAUGCAGCUCAAAAUGGGUGGUGAACUCCAUCUAAAGCUAAAUAUUGGCGAGAGACCGAUAGCGAACAAGUACCGUGAGGGAAAGAUGAAAAGCACUUUGGAAAGAGAGUGAAACAGUACGUGAAAUUGUUGAAAGGGAAACGCUUGAAGUCAGUCGCGUCGACCGAGACUCAGCCUUGCCUCGGCUUGGUGUACUUCUCGGCCCGACGGGUCAGCGUCAAUUUUGCCCCUCGGAUAAUGGCAAGGGAAAGGUGGCACCUUUACGGGUGUGUUAUAGUCUCCUGUCGCAUGCGAGGGGUGGGAUUGAGGAACUCAGCGCGCACCUUGGUGUCGGGGCUUCUGCCCACGUCACGCGCUUAGGAUGCUGGCGUAAUGGCCUUAAACGACC